Molecule: ribosomal RNA, 440 nt
Filed under: uncultured bacterium
Lineage: Bacteria
Description: partial 16S ribosomal RNA
Rfam family: Bacterial small subunit ribosomal RNA
Source: RNAcentral
CCUACGGGAGGCAGCAGUGGGGAAUAUUGCACAAUGGGGGAAACCCUGACGCAGCGACGCCGCGUGAGUGAAGAAGUCAUUCGUUAUGUAAAGUUCUAUUAGCAGGGAAGAAAAUGACGGUACCUGAGUAAUAAGCCCCGGCUAACUACGUGCCAGCAGCCGCGGUAAUACGUAGGGGGCAAGCGUUAUCCGGAUUUACUGGGUGUAAAGGGCGUGUAGACGGGGCGCUAAGUCUGGAGUGAAAUGUCGCAGCUUAACUGCGGACCUGCUUUGGAAACUGGCGAACUGGAGUGCGGGAGGGGUAAGCGGAAUUCCUGGUGGAGCGGUGAAAUGCGUAGAUAUUAGGAGGAACACCAGUGGCGAAGGCGGCUUGCUGGACCGUAACUGACGUUGAGGCUCGAAAGCGUGGGGAGCAAACAGGAUUAGAUACCCUGGUAGUC